RNAcentral lists this transfer RNA (74 nucleotides) under Spirochaetales bacterium. RNAcentral's name for it is "tRNA-Arg". It matches the Rfam family "tRNA". Rfam says of the family: Transfer RNA (tRNA) molecules are approximately 80 nucleotides in length. Their secondary structure includes four short double-helical elements and three loops (D, anti-codon, and T loops). Further hydrogen bonds mediate the characteristic L-shaped molecular structure. tRNAs have two regions of fundamental functional importance: the anti-codon, which is responsible for specific mRNA codon recognition, and the 3' end, to which the tRNAs corresponding amino acid is attached (by aminoacyl-tRNA synthetases). tRNAs cope with the degeneracy of the genetic code in two manners: having more than one tRNA (with a specific anti-codon) for a particular amino acid; and 'wobble' base-pairing, i.e. permitting non-standard base-pairing at the 3rd anti-codon position. The record is from RNAcentral. Lineage: Bacteria; Pseudomonadati; Spirochaetota; Spirochaetia; Spirochaetales.
GAGAUCGUAGCUCAGCUGGAUAGAGCAUCAGAUUGCGGAUCUGAGGGUCAGAGGUUCAAAUCCUCCCGGUCUCA